GACGAACGCUGGCGGCGUGCUUAACACAUGCAAGUCGAACGGAAAGGCCCUGCUUGCAGGGUACUCGAGUGGCGAACGGGUGAGUAACACGUGGGUGAUCUGCCCUGCACUUCGGGAUAAGCCUGGGAAACUGGGUCUAAUACCGGAUAGGAGCCAUUUUUAGUGUGAUGGUUGGAAAGUUUUUUCGGUGUAGGAUGAGCUCGCGGCCUAUCAGCUUGUUGGUGGGGUAAUGGCCUACCAAGGCGGCAACGGGUAGCCGGCCUGAGAGGGUGGACGGCCACAUUGGGACUGAGAUACGGCCCAGACUCCUACGGGAGGCAGCAGUGGGGAAUAUUGCACAAUGGGCGCAAGCCUGAUGCAGCGACGCCGCGUGGGGGAUGACGGCCUUCGGGUUGUAAACUCCUUUCGCUAGGGACGAAGCUUUUUGUGACGGUACCUAGAUAAGAAGCACCGGCUAACUACGUG
This 465-nucleotide ribosomal RNA is filed under the name uncultured bacterium. RNAcentral describes it as "partial 16S ribosomal RNA". It matches the Rfam family "Bacterial small subunit ribosomal RNA", at positions 28 to 507 of the family's 1533-position model. The record is from RNAcentral.